RNAcentral lists this ribosomal RNA (273 nucleotides) under uncultured bacterium. Its description in RNAcentral is "partial 16S ribosomal RNA". It matches the Rfam family "Bacterial small subunit ribosomal RNA", at positions 81 to 353 of the family's 1533-position model. The record is from RNAcentral.
UACUUUGGUGGCGACCGGCGCACGGGUGCGUAACGCGUAUGUAACCUACCUAUAACAGGGGCAUAACACUGAGAAAUUGGUACUAAUUCCCCAUAAUAUUCGGAGAGGCAUCUCUCCGGGUUGAAAACUCCGGUGGUUAUAGAUGGACAUGCGUUGUAUUAGCUAGUUGGUGAGGUAACGGCUCACCAAGGCAACGAUACAUAGGGGGACUGAGAGGUUAACCCCCCACACUGGUACUGAGACACGGACCAAACUCCUACGGGAGGCAGCAUG